UUUGGAGAUAGUGCUAAUCUUUAUGCAAGAUAGAUGCACGGUUUGCAUGGAACAUACGAUAUGGUCAAAAAUCAAUUAGGACGCACCUGAUAUCACUUCUUGAUGACGUGUGUCAUAUGGAAUCUCGCUUUGGUCUGUUUAGAAACAAUGUUAGUUUCGGUGCAAGAUAUGUGGAUGGUUUGCGCCUAAUGCACCAUAGUCAAAGAAACCAUUUUGGAAGCACCUGUUGGUACUUCGGUGAAGAGGCUCAAGUGGAAGCUCAGUUUGAUCUGUUUGGAGAUAGUGCUUAUCUUGAUGCAAGAUAGCUGCA
RNAcentral lists this long non-coding RNA (310 nucleotides) under Sorghum bicolor (sorghum). RNAcentral's name for it is "long non-coding RNA (SBIC_LNC008933)". Lineage: Eukaryota; Viridiplantae; Streptophyta; Magnoliopsida; Poales; Poaceae. The record is from RNAcentral.